GCCUAAACAUACCUGAGCUAAGACGUACGUCCUUGAGAUACGCAGGUCCAGACAGGAGAUUCAGUGUCAACAAUGAACAUACUGGACUGAAGGGUGUUACUGAGGUAGCUCAGGCAAAAUGAGCCAAUCACCGCAAGUAUCCUCCUGGUCUGUGGAGGAGGUGUUGGAAUGGAUUCAGGCACAGCACCCACAACACAUCAAAACACUCUAUAAAGGGAUCAUCAAACAUGACAUAUCAGGCCGAGCUUUGCUGAGACUGAAGGAGCGUCACCUGGGGCUUCUAGGGAUGGAGGAUGACGACCAGCAGCAGGAAAUAUUGCAGGACCUUCUGCUUCUCAGAGUUCAGGAAGAAAUCAAUGAACUCAAUGACAUCUGCUUUGACUGUUUUUCUUCAUAAUGGACGGCCAAACGACCAAAAGAUACCCAGCUGUUUUUUUUUAUUUUAUUUCCCGUCUAUCCAUUCAUCUGUGUGUCUGAGAUUGAAAGGAGUGAUGGAAAUAACAGGAGAAGGUGAAUAGAAAGGGGGAUCGAUGGGGAAGAGAAGAGAAAAAGAAACCCAUUUCCUGUGUGAAAUUUGACCAGCGCAGAUGGAUGAGAUUAGUUUUUGUCUGGUUGUCUCUUUUUGAUCCUUAUUGUUCAUUUGUCUCUGUCUUUGUCCUCUUUCUGUAUUCCGUUUAGCCAUACCAAUAUCAAAUAUACUGCAACAGAAUUUAAAUUAAAGAAGUGAUUUUUUUUUUUUUUUUACCAGAAUGCCCCUGUGAUCUUUAUUUAGAACUAAUCACAGGGAUUUCUGAAAAGGUUUGGGAUUUGAUGCAGUUAUUCUUUUAUUAUUAUUUGUUAUUCUCCAGGUCUAGAAAAGGACAGAAAAAAAAUUUAAAAAAUUUUCUUGAAGCUUUUCUUCUUUUCUUGUUAAUCU
This is a long non-coding RNA of Cyprinodon variegatus (sheepshead minnow), 916 nucleotides long. RefSeq lists it as uncharacterized. NCBI's taxonomy places the organism in Eukaryota, Metazoa, Chordata, Actinopteri, Cyprinodontiformes, Cyprinodontidae. The transcript is spliced from 4 exons. The record is from RefSeq and is a predicted model, not a curated record.